CGGCGUUGAAUAGUCGCUGCCCUCGUACUGAAAUAUGAAAUAGCGUCUCCACCUCAAGAAGUCAUCCCCUGAUUUUCAUUCAUUGGUGAGGAUGCCGCCUAGGAGAGGGAAAGAAAAUUAGGGAUCAUCUAUACCAGAGAAGGGUUUUUAUUUACUUUUUGCAUAUAAAGUGGAAUGAUACAAUAAGCAAAGAUUUUCGUGAAAAAAUAAAACAGCAUGUGGUUCAAUACCAAUAUUUUGUAAGAUCAUGGGGUUAUGUCAGUCUUCCUAUUAUGCCCAUGACUUUGUUUAUUUUGCAGAUAGAUGGUGCCCCGACUUAUUUGGCUGUAACUGGAGGAG
Molecule: long non-coding RNA, 339 nt
Organism: Lolium rigidum
Lineage: Eukaryota; Viridiplantae; Streptophyta; Magnoliopsida; Poales; Poaceae
Exons: 2
Source: RefSeq, a predicted model, not a curated record